This 382-nucleotide ribosomal RNA is filed under the name Alpheus nr. amblyonyx HDBG-2014. RNAcentral's name for it is "partial 12S ribosomal RNA". It matches the Rfam family "Microsporidia small subunit ribosomal RNA", at positions 752 to 1204 of the family's 1311-position model. Lineage: Eukaryota; Metazoa; Arthropoda; Malacostraca; Decapoda; Alpheidae. The record is from RNAcentral.
UAUUAUACUUAGACUAGAUGAAUAGCCUUUGAGUAGUAAACAGGUAUGGGCUCGAAACUCAAAGGAUUUGGCGGUAUCUGAGCCGGUUAGAGGAACUUGUGCGGUAAACGAUAAUCCCCGAGAAUCUAGCCCUAUCUUGUAACAUUCAGUUUGUAUACCGCCAUUAUUGGGUAACUUUAAUAGAGGUUUACCGGGAGAGAUAGUUUAUCUAGGAUAUUAGGUCAAGGUGCAGCCAAUGGUAGGGUCGUCGUGAGUUACAAUAGGACAGGCUUAUACGGAUAAAGCGCGGCAGUGGGUUUUUGAAGGAGGAUUUAAAAGUAAUGGGGUUAGAUCAAACUUCUUUGAUUGGGGCUCUUAGAUAUGUACACAUCGCCCGUCGUUC